CUGAGUUACACCUCAUCAAACCCUUGUGAACAUACCUAUACUGUUGCUUCGGCGGUAGGCUCCCUAGGACCUCCCGCCCUCCCGUAACCGGUGGACGGCCCGCCGCAGGAUACACAAACUCUGAUUUUACCUUGUAACUUCUGAGUAACACAACAAAUAAUCA
This 163-nucleotide unclassified non-coding RNA is filed under the name soil metagenome. RNAcentral's name for it is "partial internal transcribed spacer 1". The record is from RNAcentral.